UGCGUAGGCGGGUAGGUAAGUCAGGGGUGAAAUCCCGGGGCUCAACCCCGGAACUGCCCUUGAAACUGGGAAGCUAGAAUCUUGGAGAGGCGAGUGGAAUUCCGAGUGUAGAGGUGAAAUUCGUAGAUAUUCGGAAGAACACCAGUGGCGAAGGCGACUCGCUGGACAAGUAUUGACGCUGAGGUGCGAAAGCGUGGGGAGCAAACAGGAUUAGAUACCCGAGUA
This 225-nucleotide ribosomal RNA is filed under the name uncultured Porphyrobacter sp. RNAcentral describes it as "partial 16S ribosomal RNA". It matches the Rfam family "Bacterial small subunit ribosomal RNA", at positions 568 to 792 of the family's 1533-position model. Lineage: Bacteria; Pseudomonadati; Pseudomonadota; Alphaproteobacteria; Sphingomonadales; Erythrobacteraceae. The record is from RNAcentral.